GCAUAUCCAUAGCGGAGGAAAAGAAACCCAACAGGGAUUGCCUUAGUAGCGGCGAGUGAAGCGGCAAAAGCUCAGAUUUGAAAUCUGCCUCACGGCCGAGUUGUAAUCUGUAGAUGGCUACUCUGUAACAAGUCUUUGCUCAAGUUUUCUGGAAAGGAACAUCAUGGAGGGUGAUAAUCCCGUGAGGCAUUGGCGUCGUUGCGUGUAGAGGGUCAUCAAAGAGUCGAGUUGUUUGGGAAUGCAGCUCAAAGCGGGUGGUAGACACCAUCUAAAGCUAAAUAUUGGCGAGAGACCGAUAGCGAACAAGUACUGUGAAGGAAAGAUGAAAAGCACUUUGAAAAGAGAGUGAAAAAGUACGUGAAAUUAUUGAUACAGAAGGAUAUGCCAUUGGACGUUAUGUUUGGGCAUGCUUGUGCUUCGGCGCAGGUUUAACCCUCUCAUUUUACCAGCAUCAGUUUCGGCAGGAGGACAAACAACGCGGAAUGUAGCUGCUUGCAGUGUUAUAGACGUGUUGCAUACUCUUUGCUGGGACUGAGGCCCGCCAUUGCAGGAUGCUGGGGUAACGAUGGCAUAUCACCCGUCUUGAAACACGGACCAAGGAGUCUAUUGCAUAUGCAAGUGUUUGGGUGUAAAACCCCGGCGCGAAAUGAAAGUGAACGUAGGUUGGAGCCCGCAAGGGUGCACAAUCGGCCGAUCUUGACGUUUUACAGAUGGAUUUGAGCAAGAGCAUGUGUGAUGGGACCCGAAAGAUGGUGAACUAUACCUGGACAGGGUGAAGCCAGAGGAAACUCUGGUGGAAGCUCGUAGGCGUUCUAACGUGCAAAUUGAUGCUCAGAUCAGGGUAUAGGGGCGAAAGACUAAUCGAACCAUCUAGUAGCUGGUUCCUGCCGA
This 891-nucleotide ribosomal RNA is filed under the name Wickerhamiella parazyma. RNAcentral describes it as "LSU rRNA". It matches the Rfam family "Eukaryotic large subunit ribosomal RNA", at positions 38 to 964 of the family's 3401-position model. The record is from RNAcentral. Lineage: Eukaryota; Fungi; Ascomycota; Dipodascomycetes; Dipodascales; Trichomonascaceae.